This is a small nucleolar RNA of Phyllopteryx taeniolatus (common seadragon), 133 nucleotides long. RefSeq annotates it as small nucleolar RNA SNORA13. The record is from RefSeq and is a predicted model, not a curated record. Lineage: Eukaryota; Metazoa; Chordata; Actinopteri; Syngnathiformes; Syngnathidae. The transcript has a single exon.
UGCCUUUAUGUGUUGCCCUCUCAUUGAUCUGUGUAGUGAUGGGGGUGUCAGAUAAGGCACACACUGACUCUCGUGGCAGCCACUGAAUUGAGUUUGAAAUGACUCCUUUGCAAGUGCUCCCACGAGCACAUGC